This 765-nucleotide ribosomal RNA is filed under the name uncultured bacterium. Its description in RNAcentral is "bacterial SSU rRNA". It matches the Rfam family "Bacterial small subunit ribosomal RNA", at positions 28 to 806 of the family's 1533-position model. The record is from RNAcentral.
GACGAACGCUGGCGGCGCGCCUAACACAUGCAAGUCGAACGGAGCUUAGAGAGCUUGCUUUUUAAGCUUAGUGGCGAACGGGUGAGUAACGCGUGAGUAACCUGCCCUAGAGAGGGGGACAACAGUUGGAAACGACUGCUAAUACCGCAUAAGCCCACGGUGCCGCAUGGCACUGAGGGAAAAGGAUUUAUUCGCUUUAGGAUGGACUCGCGUCCAAUUAGCUAGUUGGUGAGGUAACGGCCCACCAAGGCGACGAUUGGUAGCCGGACUGAGAGGUUGAACGGCCACAUUGGGACUGAGACACGGCCCAGACUCCUACGGGAGGCAGCAGUGGGGGAUAUUGCACAAUGGGGGAAACCCUGAUGCAGCGACGCCGCGUGGAGGAAGAAGGUUUUCGGAUUGUAAACUCCUGUCGUUAGGGACGAUAAUGACGGUACCUAACAAGAAAGCACCGGCUAACUACGUGCCAGCAGCCGCGGUAAAACGUAGGGUGCAAGCGUUGUCCGGAAUUACUGGGUGUAAAGGGAGCGCAGGUGGGAAGACAAGUUGGAAGUGAAAACCAUGGGCUCAACCCAUGAAUUGCUUUCAAAACUGUUUUUCUUGAGUAGUGCAGAGGUAGAUGGAAUUCCCGGUGUAGCGGUGGAAUGCGUAGAUAUCGGGAGGAACACCAGUGGCGAAGGCGGUCUACUGGGCACCAACUGACGCUGAGGCUCGAAAGCAUGGGUAGCAAACAAGAUUAGAUACCCUGGUAGUCCAUGCCGUAAA